GUCCCACGCCGUAAACGGUGGAUGCUGGAUGUGGGGCCCUUUUUCCGGGUCCUGUGUCGGAGCUAACGCGUUAAGCAUCCCGCCUGGGGAGUACGGCCGCAAGGCUAAAACUCAAAGAAAUUGACGGGGGCCCGCACAAGCGGCGGAGCAUGCGGAUUAAUUCGAUGCAACGCGAAGAACCUUACCUGGGCUUGACAUGUGCCUGACGAUCCCGGAGACGGGGUUUCCCUUCGGGGCGGGUUCACAGGUGGUGCAUGGUCGUCGUCAGCUCGUGUCGUGAGAUGUUGGGUUAAGUCCCGCAACGAGCGCAACCCUCGCCGCGUGUUGCCAGCGGGUCAUGCCGGGAACUCACGUGGGACCGCCGGGGUUAACUCGGAGGAAGGUGGGGAUGACGUCAGAUCAUCAUGCCCCUUACGUCCAGGGCUUCACGCAUGCUACAAUGGCCGGUACAACGGGGUGCGACACGGUGACGUGGGGCGGAUCCCUGAAAACCGGUCUCAGUUCGGAUCGCAGUCUGCAACUCGACUGCGUGAAGGUGGAGUCGCUAGUAAUCGCGGAUCAGCAACGCCGCGGUGAAUGCGUUCCCGGGCCUUGUACACACCGCCCGUCAAGUCAUGAAAGUGGGCAGCACCCGAAGACGGUGGCCUAACCCUUGUGGGGGGAGCCGUCUAAGGUGAGGCUCGUGAUUGGGACUAAGUCGUAACAAGGUAGCC
Molecule: ribosomal RNA, 713 nt
Filed under: Bifidobacterium pseudolongum subsp. globosum
Lineage: Bacteria; Bacillati; Actinomycetota; Actinomycetes; Bifidobacteriales; Bifidobacteriaceae
Description: bacterial SSU rRNA
Rfam family: Bacterial small subunit ribosomal RNA
Source: RNAcentral